This 1071-nucleotide long non-coding RNA is filed under the name Oreochromis niloticus (Nile tilapia). RNAcentral's name for it is "lncRNA (ENSONIG00000043172.1)". Lineage: Eukaryota; Metazoa; Chordata; Actinopteri; Cichliformes; Cichlidae. The record is from RNAcentral.
AUGUCCAUGCUGCUGAUCCCUGCAUACACUCCAGUUAGGAGAAGAGCACCCCCAGUCACAAAAACCGUGAAAACCUGGCCAGUAGGUGCAUCACAUCAGCUGCAGGACUGUUUUGAAAACACGGACUGGAGCGUGUUCGAACAUCAGGACCUUGAAGAGCACACAACAUCAGUGCUCUCAUAUAUUAACUUCUGUGUCAACAGUGUCACUGUGGACAAACGUCUCCGGGUGUAUUCCAACCAGAAACCCUGGAUGACUAAAGAGGUCCAGGUCCUGCUGAAGCAGCGUGACGCCGCUCUUAGAUCUGGUGAUGGUAUGCAGUACAGUGCAGCCAGAUCUGAGUUGAAAAGAGGCAUCAGAGAAGCCAAGGCAGCGUACAAGAGAAGGAUCGAAGACCACUUCAGCAACAACAACUCACGACAGGUAUGUCAGGGAGUUCAGCACUUAACCAACUACAAACCUUGCAAUACCACGUUGACUGAGGGUAAUGCGGUGCUUGCGGAGGAGCUGAACCACUUCUUCGCACGCUUUGAGGUGAAGGGACCAGAGGCAGCAGCAGCAAAAACAUCUGACAGCAGCAGCAGCCCAAGCCUCAUAGUGCAGGAAUAUGAGGUGAGGCGCACACUGAGGGCAGUGAACCCCAGGAAGGCCGCUGGACCAGACGGGGUAACCGCAAGGGUCCUUAAAGAGUGUGCAGACCAGCUGGCUGGGGUCUUCACUAAGAUCUUCAACACUUCACUGUCCCAGUCCUGCAUCCCGCCGUGCCUAAAGUCAGCCACAAUUGUCCCACUGCCAAAGUGUACUAACAUUAGCCGCCUCAACGACUACCGACCAGUUGCUCUAACACCUGUUAUAAUGAAGUGCUUCGAGAAACUGAUCCGACGUCACAUCAUGUCCUGCUUGCCACCCAACCUCGACCCGCUCCAGUUCGCAUACAGAGCUAACAGAUCAACUGAAGAUGCCAUUGCUACAAUACUCCACACCACCAUCUAUUCAAUUCAAUUCAAUUUUAUUUAUAUAGCGCCAAAUCACAACAAAAGUCGCCUCAAGGCGCUUUAUAUUGUACAAUAG